GAUCAGCAUCGCUGGGGAAUGGAAUACCAUUCAUCGGAACUCCCGGCACAAGGCUUGCAAAGGUGAUUUCCCUUUC
Molecule: non-coding RNA, 76 nt
Filed under: [Bacteroides] pectinophilus
Lineage: Bacteria; Bacillati; Bacillota; Clostridia; Eubacteriales
Also listed under: 1 other name
Description: HTH-XRE RNA
Rfam family: HTH-XRE RNA
Source: RNAcentral